This 253-nucleotide ribosomal RNA is filed under the name uncultured bacterium. RNAcentral's name for it is "partial 16S ribosomal RNA". It matches the Rfam family "Bacterial small subunit ribosomal RNA", at positions 524 to 776 of the family's 1533-position model. The record is from RNAcentral.
UACGUAGGGUGCAAGCGUUGUCCGGAAUUAUUGGGCGUAAAGAGCUCGUAGGCGGUCUGUUGCGUCGGCUGUGAAAACCCGGGGCUCAACUCCGGGCCUGCAGCCGAUACGGGCAGACUAGAGUUCGGCAGGGGAGACUGGAAUUCCUGGUGUAGCGGUGAAAUGCGCAGAUAUCAGGAGGAACACCGGUGGCGAGGGCGGGUCUCUGGGCCGAUACUGACGCUGAGGAGCGAAAGCGUGGGGAGCGAACAGG